RNAcentral lists this ribosomal RNA (433 nucleotides) under uncultured bacterium. RNAcentral describes it as "partial 16S ribosomal RNA". It matches the Rfam family "Bacterial small subunit ribosomal RNA", at positions 29 to 507 of the family's 1533-position model. The record is from RNAcentral.
AGCGAACGCUGGCGGCAGGCCUAACACAUGCAAGUCGAACGGAUCCUUCGGGAUUAGUGGCGGACGGGUGAGUAACACGUGGGAACGUGCCCUUUGGCUCGGAACAACUCAGGGAAACUUGAGCUAAUACCGGAUGUGCCCUUCGGGGGAAAGAUUUAUCGCCAUUGGAGCGGCCCGCGUCUGAUUAGCUAGUUGGUGAGGUAACGGCCCACCAAGGCGACGAUCAGUAGCUGGUCUGAGAGGACGAUCAGCCACACUGGGACUGAGACACGGCCCAGACUCCUACGGGAGGCAGCAGUGGGGAAUCUUGCGCAAUGGGCGAAAGCCUGACGCAGCCAUGCCGCGUGAAUGAUGAAGGUCUUAGGAUUGUAAAAUUCUUUCAGCGGGGACGAUAAUGACGGUACCCGCAGAAGAAGCUCCGGCUAACUUCGUG